UGCGCUCACUACUGUAAGGUCGCUCUGGAUGAGAGCGUCUGCUAAAUGACUAACA
This is a non-coding RNA of Salmo salar (Atlantic salmon), 55 nucleotides long. NCBI's taxonomy places the organism in Eukaryota, Metazoa, Chordata, Actinopteri, Salmoniformes, Salmonidae. The record is from Rfam.